UUUAAACAACCACCUGGAUAUCUGAUAAAUUUAAAGUACAAUAAAUUACUAAGGGACAAUAAAGUGGGUGAGGACCAGCUCUAGGUGUUUAUUUCAUGUGUGCAUGGUACCUCAAGUAUCUGUGUAUAGACAUUAAUUUUCAGCUUUUCUUUUCACUGGCUUUCUGGUAAUGCUACUGCUUUUCUUACCAUAUUUGCCACCUCCAGGGGGCAUUUCCCUGUGAUUUUUUUUCCCCCUCCAGGGUUGCUGAGGGCAAUAACUUAGGCUUUUUCCCUUGGCCUGUAAUUGGAGUCUGGCUGUGCCCAGUCUGUAGGUGUGCAGUUACUGUUCCGAAUCUCACCUGUGAUUUAAUUUUCUUUCUUUUUCCAAUCAGAAGAUGAAGAGUUUGGCCCAAAGACGCCAGUCUGCGCCAUCUUUGAUCUUUGUCAAAGCACUCAGCAGAUCUAGAUCGGCCUCAAGGAGCAGCAAUUCUCACCUGUGCCUGACUUCCUUGUUUGGCUGUGCAAAGCACAUUCCUCUUCAUCACCAAUCUGAUGGAUAAGUUUGAUCUUUCCACUCGGUUUGCUGUGUAAAUGCUUAACACUGGUGAAGUGCUUUCUCUGAAGGAGAGCUGAAGAGCAAGAAAAUGACUUCUCAUGUUUUCUAAUCUUCUCCAAAUGUUUUACCUCAGACCUGUCUCUGCUCUUAGUUCUUAUAGACACAGCCAGUCUGCAAAAUCUAUCAUUCUUCUCUGGCCGUGAACCUUAAUACUGCAACUCCAUAACACUUACUUGUUAAUGGUUGAUUAAUGAUUUGUAGAUAAUAAAGCUCCUAUCUGAAGUUAACAAACAUCUGUGAGGGAUUUAUUGGAAUACUCUCACCUCAGCAGCUGGCUCACCUCAAUAUUUGUUGAAAUUAAUGAACAAGUGCAAAGUUUAAAAGGGCAGGAAAUACUUAGAAGCCUAGUCAGUUUGUAUUUUUAUACCACUUUAUAUGUCAGGUGUCCCUGGUUUAUACACAGGGCACUUUCAUAAAAUGUAGUGGCACUUUGGACAGACUUACUCGGGGGCAUUUUAAAGUUUAUUAAUGCUAUUUAUUCAAAGAAACCAUUGUGACAUCUGGAGAUGGCUAUUUAGCAUUCAGAGGACUAAUGUUUUUGAUGGUAGUGUUAUUGUAGCUGUGAUGACACAAGGAUGUGAACAAGACAAGAUGAUCUAGCUGGAAAAACCAGUGCUUGUUUGUGACAUUGUCCUGAAAGAGAAGCAAGUCUAAAAGUCUUGUGUGCUUAAAAGCUUGUCAUCUUUUUCUUCAGCUGUAUCAUUUGAUUUAAUGAACAUUCAGUUUUCAUUACAAAUUUUCCCUGCCUUGUCAAUCCUAUAGAAGGAGUCAUGUGAUAUUUGUCCUGUUGAAGAAUUCUGGGAUGGCUGUGUGGCAUGGUGGUGCGCAGAA
RNAcentral lists this long non-coding RNA (1428 nucleotides) under Taeniopygia guttata (zebra finch). Its description in RNAcentral is "lncRNA (ENSTGUG00000022050.1)". The record is from RNAcentral. Lineage: Eukaryota; Metazoa; Chordata; Aves; Passeriformes; Estrildidae.